GUGCAGCGCGCGGUAAUACCGGCAGCCCAAGUGAUGGCCACUCUUAUUGGGCCUAAAGCGUCCGUAGCCGGCCUCGCAAGUCCGUCGGGAAAUCCAGUAGCUCAACUACUGGGCGUCCGGCGGAAACUACACAGCUUGGGACCGGAAGGCUCGAAGGGUACGUUCGGGGUAGGAGUGAAAUCCCAUAAUCCCGCACGGACCACCGAUGGCGAAAGCACUUCGAGAAAACGGAUCCGACAGUGAGGGACGAAAGCCAGGGUCUCCAACCGGAUUAGAUACCCUGGUAGCC
Molecule: ribosomal RNA, 289 nt
Filed under: uncultured bacterium
Lineage: Bacteria
Description: partial 16S ribosomal RNA
Rfam family: Archaeal small subunit ribosomal RNA
Source: RNAcentral